AGUCGAACGGUGAAGCAGGAGCUUGCUCUUGUGGAUCAGUGGCGAACGGGUGAGUAACACGUGAGCAACCUGCCCCGAACUCUGGGAUAAGCGCUGGAAACGGCGUCUAAUACCGGAUACGCACCAGAGCGGCAUCGUUACUGGUGGGAAAGAUUUAUUGGUUCGGGAUGGGCUCGCGGCCUAUCAGCUUGUUGGUGAGGUAACGGCUCACCAAGGCGUCGACGGGUAGCCGGCCUGAGAGGGUGACCGGCCACACUGGGACUGAGACACGGCCCAGACUCCUACGGGAGGCAGCAGUGGGGAAUAUUGCACAAUGGGCGCAAGCCUGAUGCAGCAACGCCGCGUGAGGGAUGACGGCCUUCGGGUUGUAAACCUCUUUUAGCAGGGAAGAAGCGAAAGUGACGGUACCUGCAGAAAAAGCGCCGGCUAACUACGUGCCAGCAGCCGCGGUAAUACGUAGGGCGCAAGCGUUAUCCGGAAUUAUUGGGCGUAAAGAGCUCGUAGGCGGUCUGUCGCGUCUGCUGUGAAAACCCGAGGCUCAACCUCGGGCCUGCAGUGGGUACGGGCAGACUAGAGUGCGGUAGGGGAGAUUGGAAUUCCUGGUGUAGCGGUGGAAUGCGCAGAUAUCAGGAGGAACACCGAUGGCGAAGGCAGAUCUCUGGGCCGUAACUGACGCUGAGGAGCGAAAGGGUGGGGAGCAAACAGGCUUAGAUACCCUGGUAGUCCACCCCGUAAACGUUGGGAACUAGUUGUGGGGGCCUUUCCACGGUCUCCGUGACGCAGCUAACGCAUUAAGUUCCCCGCCUGGGGAGUACGGCCGCAAGGCUAAAACUCAAAGGAAUUGACGGGGACCCGCACAAGCGGCGGAGCAUGCGGAUUAAUUCGAUGCAACGCGAAGAACCUUA
This 905-nucleotide ribosomal RNA is filed under the name Microbacterium sp. Ume36. RNAcentral describes it as "bacterial SSU rRNA". It matches the Rfam family "Bacterial small subunit ribosomal RNA", at positions 60 to 973 of the family's 1533-position model. The record is from RNAcentral. Lineage: Bacteria; Bacillati; Actinomycetota; Actinomycetes; Micrococcales; Microbacteriaceae.